RNAcentral lists this ribosomal RNA (250 nucleotides) under uncultured bacterium. RNAcentral describes it as "partial 16S ribosomal RNA". It matches the Rfam family "Bacterial small subunit ribosomal RNA", at positions 524 to 773 of the family's 1533-position model. The record is from RNAcentral.
UACGGAGGGUGCUAGCGUUGUUCGGAAUGACUGGGCGUAAAGGGCGCGUAGGCGGCUUGGCAAGUCGGGUGUGAAAGCCCGGGGCUCAACCCCGGAACGGCAUCCGAGACUGCUUGGCUCGAGACCGGGAGAGGAGGGUGGAAUACCCAGUGUAGAGGUGAAAUUCGUAGAUAUUGGGUGGAACACCAGUGGCGAAAGCGGCUCUCUGGCCCGGAUCUGACGCUGAGGCGCGAAAGCGUGGGGAGCAAAC